UCAAAGACCCUAGGUUUCCAUGUCCAACUUUGACUGUCCGUCUUAUAUGAAAUUUUUUAAUAAUUCGUAUUUUCAUUGUUGUUAGAUGAUAAAACAUGAUUAAUAUUUUAUGCGUGACUUGUCUUUUUAAAUUUUUUUCAUAAUUUUUUCAAAUAAGAAGGACGGUCAAACGUUGGGCACGGAAAUCAGGGUUUGUCUUUUU
This 202-nucleotide microRNA precursor is filed under the name Oryza glumipatula. RNAcentral's name for it is "MIR812 microRNA precursor family". It matches the Rfam family "MIR812 microRNA precursor family". Lineage: Eukaryota; Viridiplantae; Streptophyta; Magnoliopsida; Poales; Poaceae. The record is from Rfam by way of RNAcentral.